GGGCCGGUAGCUCAGCCUGGUAGAGCACCUGACUUUUAAUCAGGUGGUCGCGAGUUCGAAUCUCGUCCGGCCCG
Molecule: transfer RNA, 74 nt
Filed under: Nanobdellota archaeon
Lineage: Archaea; Nanobdellati; Nanobdellota
Also listed under: 1 other name
Description: tRNA-Lys
Rfam family: tRNA
About the family: Transfer RNA (tRNA) molecules are approximately 80 nucleotides in length. Their secondary structure includes four short double-helical elements and three loops (D, anti-codon, and T loops). Further hydrogen bonds mediate the characteristic L-shaped molecular structure. tRNAs have two regions of fundamental functional importance: the anti-codon, which is responsible for specific mRNA codon recognition, and the 3' end, to which the tRNAs corresponding amino acid is attached (by aminoacyl-tRNA synthetases). tRNAs cope with the degeneracy of the genetic code in two manners: having more than one tRNA (with a specific anti-codon) for a particular amino acid; and 'wobble' base-pairing, i.e. permitting non-standard base-pairing at the 3rd anti-codon position.
Source: RNAcentral